This 406-nucleotide ribosomal RNA is filed under the name uncultured bacterium. RNAcentral's name for it is "partial 16S ribosomal RNA". It matches the Rfam family "Bacterial small subunit ribosomal RNA", at positions 30 to 526 of the family's 1533-position model. The record is from RNAcentral.
AUUGAACGCUGGCGGCAGGCCUAACACAUGCAAGUCGAACGAGUGGCGGACGGGUGAGUAAUGUCUGGGAACCUGCCCGAUGGAGGGGGAUAACUACUGGAAACGGUAGCUAAUACCGCAUACCAUCAGAUGGGCCCAGUUGGGAUUAGCUAGUUGGUGGGGUAACGGCUCACCAAGGCGACGAUCCGUAGCUGGUCUGAGAGGAUGACCAGCCACACUGGAACUGAGACACGGUCCAGACUCCUACGGGAGGCAGCAGUGGGGAAUAUUGGACAAUGGGCGAAAGCCUGAUGCAGCCAUGCCGCGUGUAUGAAGAAGGCCUUCGGAUUGUAAAGUACUUUAAGCGGGGAGGCGUUACCCGCAGAAUAAGCACCGGCUAACUCCGUGCCAGCAGCCGCGGUAAUUC